AGGCAUGUGGAUAAUUUCAAAGUCUUUUAAAAUCCGCGAUACCAAAGUCUCAGCACCAAGAAAUCAUCAAAGAAAUUCAUGUUUAUAUCCUUAAUUGAGUUUUGUCUCACUAAAGCCCAACUCUUGAAUCUUCGAAGAUCUCUCGUCUUCUUCGUGAUUACUCACACCUCAGCGAAAUACCAUUCCCUGAAUCUCCUCGCACUACUCUGACUCGCCACCCCCACCACUCACUACAGAGUCCAAGAAACCCAGUUCUCCAUCUACUUUCUUUUUUUUGGAGCAGUGGUUUAAUAGGCGAUGAUUGUCCCGUCUAGGGAGAAUGGAAACUAAUGGUAGCAAUUCUAAUUCCAAUGAAAAUCAGCCUUCCGAUGCUUCAAAUAUUGAUAGGAGAGAGAAGCUUACUGAGAAAGAAGUCUUUAUUAAUCAUGCAGAGGUAGCUUGGCAAGAGAGAAGAAGAGAAUGGGUCGGUGAUCAGUCUCAGAAAUCACAAAGAGCGCCAAGAGAACCAAUUAUGAGCUGGACCACAACGUAUGAGGAUCUUCUUUUAUCUACCGAACCUUUUCAGGAGCCAAUACCUUUAGCUGAAAUGGUGGAUUUUUUAGCUAAUAUCUGGCAAGAAGAAGGCCUCUAUGACUAGUUGAUUGGAUAUCCUCCGUCCAUUAUGCACAGUAAGAAUUUUGGACCAUUUUCUUUGUGCUUAUUGAUGGUGACGCGAAGCUAUAUCUGAAAUUUAUUAUUCAAGGUAGAGUCGGUUUUCUUCAUCCUUAUUGCUUAAACCGGAGUCAUUUGCAGUGGAGAAGUGAAUCACAUAUCCAUUCAUCUUAGGUUCUUAGCACAUUUGACUGCUAAGCAUUUGUGUAAUGAACUAAUCAGGUUCUAUGGUUCGCUUUCAAUACAGAGUCAUUUGACUUUUGCCUUUUGACAACUCUUUCUUAUUGCAAUGAUGUACAGUCUAAUUUUCAACUUCAUGGUUCUUAUCCGGAUGAUUGUGGAGCUGGUACUGCAUUGUGUCGUCAAUUCCUUGUCCCUUCCAUUAACAGAAGGUUUUCGGAUUUUUGGUAAUGAUUCCAAAUGUUAUCGUCAACAGGCACAACUUAUUCUUAUGAACAAGUUUGCAAGGAAUGGCUUGCACAUAGCUGAAGAACUUCUCAGCAAAAUCGUCAUAUUCCCCGUCGUUGGGACGAUCGUGAAGCCUCCAGCGCUCAAACCACGGAUAGCGGUGUCAGCUGGAGCGGUCCAUACAUAUCUUCUCCGGGCUUGGGCUUGAUGAGGAAAGGUGAAGUUGGUCUCAAUGGUGCGAGCGGUAAUCUCGGCCGUAGCCAGUCGGGAAGCUAGUGGAAGUGAAGGCAAACCGUUCUCAAGCAAGUUAUGAUUAAAUCGCUGGCGCGAUUAAUAAGUGAUUUUUCAAAAUUUAAAAAAAAACAAAAAUUGUCGGAAGCUGGUGGCAAUCGAUCAGGUCGCGCGACUUUUGAUAACGUCUCCUUCUAUAAAUUUAAGCACGUCUCCCACUCACGGUAUGCUUAAACUUGGUGAGCACUGUUUGAGCCAUAAAUAAAAAUAU
This is a non-coding RNA of Malus domestica (apple), 1561 nucleotides long. The record is from RefSeq and is a predicted model, not a curated record. NCBI's taxonomy places the organism in Eukaryota, Viridiplantae, Streptophyta, Magnoliopsida, Rosales, Rosaceae.